AACGAGCGCUGGCGGCAUGCCUAACACAUGCAAGUCGAACGAAGGCUUCGGCCUUAGUGGCGCACGGGUGCGUAACGCGUGGGAAUCUGCCCUUGGGUUCGGAAUAACUCAGAGAAAUUUGAGCUAAUACCGGAUGAUGACGUAAGUCCAAAGAUUUAUCGCCCAAGGAUGAGCCCGCGUAAGAUUAGCUAGUUGGUGGGGUAAAGGCCUACCAAGGCGACGAUCUUUAGCUGGUCUGAGAGGAUGAUCAGCCACACUGGGACUGAGACACGGCCCAGACUCCUACGGGAGGCAGCAGUGGGA
This 303-nucleotide ribosomal RNA is filed under the name uncultured bacterium. Its description in RNAcentral is "bacterial SSU rRNA". It matches the Rfam family "Bacterial small subunit ribosomal RNA", at positions 29 to 359 of the family's 1533-position model. The record is from RNAcentral.